CAAAGGUACUGUGGAGAUUACACAUUUAUUUAAGGAUAAAUUGGUAAUUUGAUAUUGCUUUUCAUGCCUUUUCACUAGACGUGUGCACUCUAUAUUAGUAAACACGUGUGUUGAGCACUUUAAUUAGAUACAACCAGUUCAAAGAACUUAACUUUCUCUCUCUUCUUCACUCCUCAAAGCCCAUCUCUUCUCAACUUUUAAGGCUUCUCAUCAUUUUUCACUCUUUCAAGCACAUGGUUUCUGAUUGUAAUGAAGGCAUAUCCUCUUAAUUUUGCCUGUUCUUGAUUGAUUUCUUACAUGUGAGUCAUUAUAUUUUAGCACUUCUUUGUAUGCAUGUUUGAUAUAGGGAAUAGAUACUUGGGUACAUUUAUCGGAAUGCAUGUUUGUUUCCUUAUUGGAGAAUGAACACCUACUGAAAAUGGAACUUUUGGAAUGAAUACAUAUUUAUUUAGUUUACCCAGAUAUUGUUAUAGAAUUUUGGUGGGUAUCAAUUUGCACAAUAUUAUACCAAAGAUGCUCGACAAUAUGCCUAAUACAAAUAAAUUAUUUUUUCAAUUUUCUAAAGGUGUUUUUUUUUCUUCAAAUUGAGUUGUGCUUCUAUUUUCAUUCUAAAUUUAUAUGGGUUUUCUGAUAUCGUUGCACAAGUAAGUAGACUCAAUUUGUUGAGAACAGUCAAUGGAUGAAUCAAAAGGCGCAAAAGAGUAGAGUCAGACACGAAUUGUGCCAUUGACAAGAUAUACCCAUUUUCUCUCCUCCAACGCUCUUUUUAGGUGGGGUAAUCUAAUUGCAGCUUUGGGAUAAAUUAGUCGUGCUACCUUUUCCCUAAAGGUAAACAUGUUUUUUUUUUGGGUUUAUAUGCAAGAAGCAUCUCAUGGGGGACAACAAUCAACAGAUAAUUAGCUGGUGCGGGAUUAUACUCUGAAUAACAUGUUCGCAUACUCUUUUUAUCACUUGACACCUAGAAAAUUUUGGUAUAAAUUUGCUAUCCUAGACUUGAAGCAGUUAGAAACAAUUACCAUGAACUACCCUAUGCCUUCAAACUUAAAACAAGAUUUUUUUUUAUUUUUUUUUUAAAUUCUCUUACUCAUUCACAAAGAUAUAAAGCAGUAUAUGUAGUAGUUAGAGAGUCAAAAGCUGUAAACACCUAAAAUACACUGACAUUCAAUGGUUAAUAGAAGUUUAAGCCAUGAUCAUCAUGUUCGACUCCAUUCUUUCAUAUUCGUUUGGAAUAUUCUAAGACUCAGAAGCAUAUUUGUAUUCUAUUAACAGUUGACUUGCAUAUUAUGCUCUUUGUUUAUGAAUCUAAGACUUUGAUCUCUGUAAAAAUCAGGUUUUGAAAGUUUUAUUUCUCAAAGAAAUACUUCUGAUUGGGUAUUGUGACCUUUUCUGUUAAAGAAUUCUUACGUAUCUAUAAGAAUUCUGUUAAGAAAGAACGCUGCAUUGGUAUUUAAAAGAAUGUUGCAUUGGUAUUUAAAUUGAAUAAUUUAAAAUCAAAGAUUAUUUAAAAAUGCUUUUUCAUAGCAUCGCAUCCUUGGAUAUUUGUUAUAUAAAUGAAUCGAUGAUGUUGAAUGAUUAAUGCAGGCAUCUAUUUCUUUUUUCCACAAUACUUAGGAAAAUGCAAAAGUCCAAUAUCACAUCAUGAUCAUUUACAGUCAUUAAUAUCCACCACAUUCUGGUUUUUGUUUUCAUUAACGAAAGAGUAACAAAGGAAUUUCCAACUGAUAAAUAGAAAAGACAAAGAAUUCAAGAAAUUACAGUAUAUUUUCACCUUAGUAAAGCUGAGAAUGAAGCAUGUCAUCCAUCAAUUAGAAGCCCCGUUGCAAGAAUUGUCGAGCAAGAAAAUUUCAGUUUUAGCCUUUACAUAGAAUUGUGUUAUUUCAUUGAGCAAUAAAAGACAACAUUUAUAAAUGUCCCACUUAUGUGAGGGUUUCUACUGACUGGUAAUCAAAGUUGUGAUUAGAAGAAUUACACUUCCUCAAGAAGAUAUUUGUAAGUCAUGUUCCAAACUCCCUCCAGCGUUAUGACAUUUUACAUACGAUGUUGUCUAUUCUGAAGUCACUAAAAAAACAUGUUCAUAAUAUUUUCAAAAACAUGUUCAUAAUAUUUUCCUAAACAUAUGUAAGAAAGACAAGACCGAGAUAUCAGUCAGCACAAACCCCCCACCACUCCAGCUGCAGAUUGGAGGUAAAGGAUGGACGAGAUUAAGAUAAAUGAGUCGGAUAGCUUUCACUCGGUAGAGAAGUUUGUCGUUUUCUCUUCUGUUUAUACCAGUUUCUGAGUUUAUCAUAUUAUGAUAAUGCCUUUUAUUUUUGCUAGGUAUUUAGUUUCACUCCCAGGAUUACACAUUUGCACUCAGGAUGAUGUUUUAAGGCAUUGAGGAGAAGUACAUUCUUUUAAGCAGUCGAAAAUGUAUAUCAAUUUUUAUUCUUUCACUUUAUUAUUGUUACGGAUUUGCUGCCGCGGUUAAAUGUUGUUUCCAUAGUUUUUGGUAUUGUUUCUGUUAUUAGAUAUUUUUAGGCGAGGAAAAGUUUCUUUUACAAUCUUGGCGCUUCUUGAAGAUGUGACAUUGUCGUCUUUGAGACUUCUCAUUGACAUUGUAGUGGUGAGCAAUAUCUCUUUGUUGCUAUAGAGAAGGAAAAAUGCAGUGGGAGAACCCUACAUCAUGUUGAGGCUUCAAUUGCAUAACUACCGAGUAAUGGAAAGAGACAUCAUUCAAGAUUAAAUUUCUAUAGUGAAAGGGAAAUGGGGACUCUAUACCACUGUUAUUGCCAUUGUUCUUGCUGCUCUGGGUUUGUAGUUUUUAUCUUUGUAUGAGUGAUGAACCAAUAACAUUUAGCUAUUAUUUAGCUUUGCACUUCACGUAUAACUGUCCUAGCACUUAAUGUAGUUGUUUUUCCUUUGGUUGAAUGUAGUUAUGUUAACUGCAACUGUAAGGGUGUUUCAACAAAAGUGUUAGCUACUGAAA
Lycium barbarum (goji berry) is the source of this 2965-nucleotide long non-coding RNA. RefSeq lists it as uncharacterized. Lineage: Eukaryota; Viridiplantae; Streptophyta; Magnoliopsida; Solanales; Solanaceae. The transcript has 2 exons. The record is from RefSeq and is a predicted model, not a curated record.